AUUUAUAUAGUUUAUCACAAAACAUUACAUUUUCAUUGUAAAAAUAAAAUAUAAUAUUUUUAUAAAUA
RNAcentral lists this transfer RNA (68 nucleotides) under Papilio thoas (king swallowtail). RNAcentral's name for it is "tRNA-Glu". The record is from RNAcentral. Lineage: Eukaryota; Metazoa; Arthropoda; Insecta; Lepidoptera; Papilionidae.